Molecule: ribosomal RNA, 378 nt
Filed under: proteobacterium TOSB1
Lineage: Bacteria; Pseudomonadati; Pseudomonadota
Description: bacterial SSU rRNA
Rfam family: Bacterial small subunit ribosomal RNA (bases 20-311)
Source: RNAcentral
GAGGGGGCCGGGUGGCCUGCGAGUAGAGAUGGAUGAGCUGGAGUUUGCUCCAUGAUUCCGCGGGGGACGGGUGAGUAAUGCCUAGGAAUCUGCCUGGUGUGGGGGACAACGUUUCGAAAGGAACGCUAAUACCGCAUACGUCCUACGGGAGAAAGCAGGGGACCUUCGGGCCUUGCCCUCUCACAUGAGCCUAGGUCAGAUUAGCUAGUUGGAGGGGUAAUGGCUCACCAAGGCGACCAUCCGUAACUGGGCUGACACGAUGAUCAGUCACACUGGAACUGAGACACGGUCCAGACUCCUACGGGAGGCUGACUGGACGAAUAUCCCCACCUGCCUCCAAAGCCUGACCCAGCCAUGCCUUAGUGUCCCACCUUCUUC